GACGUCCGCCUUUGCUUGGGCCGUGGGCCUGGAUACCCAGAUGAAAUAUUGAGCACGAAAAUCAUAGGAGAGAGGCAAUUCAACAAGGCCGUUGAUCUGUUCAUGUCUGCUACUGAGGAACUGAGUGGGAAGAUUGAUUAUCGACAUUUGUACCUAAACUUUACGGAUCUUGAGGUAGAUUUAGAUGGAAAAGGCAAAGCCAAGACUUGUCCUGCGGCUCUUGGCCCAGGAUUUGCCGCUGGAACUACAGAUGGUCCUGGCAUGUUUGGGUUUGAACAAGGUGACACAGAGAUCAACGAGCUCUGGGGAAAAGUGAGGGACGCUUUGAAAGAACCAAGCCAACAUCAGGCGGACUGCCAGAAACCCAAGAAUGUUUUGCUCUCUACUGGAGAAAUGUUCGAUCCUUAUGCAUGGGCGCCAGCAAUUCUUCCAAUUCAAAUACUGAGGCUGGGAAGAUUGAUCAUACUUUCCGUACCAGGAGAGUUCACAACAAUGGCUGGCCGGCGACUAAGGGAAGCAGUUAAGAAGACGUUGAUUAAUAAUGGAGAAGGAGAUUUUGAUAAUGAGACUCACAUUGUAAUAGCUGGCCUUACAAACACGUACUCACAGUAUGUUGCAACUAUUGAAGAAUAUGGACAGCAAAGAUACGAGGGAGCUUCGACGCUCUAUGGUCCUCAUACGCUGUCAGCAUAUAUCCAAGAAUUCAAUAAACUAGCAGUAGCAUUGGCAAAGGGAGAACGGCUUCCGAAAACGGACUUGUCACCCCCAGACCUUUCCUCUAAACAAUACAGACUCCUUCUUCCCCCCUGGAUUGACUCACCUCCUAAGGGCGUAAAGUUAGGGGAUAUGAA
RNAcentral lists this unclassified non-coding RNA (851 nucleotides) under Hevea brasiliensis (rubber tree). Lineage: Eukaryota; Viridiplantae; Streptophyta; Magnoliopsida; Malpighiales; Euphorbiaceae. The record is from RNAcentral.